CAAUAGCGUAUAUUAAAGUUGUUGCGGUCAAAAAGCUCGUAGUUGGAUUUCUACCGAAGAUAGCCGGUCGGGUCUUCGACCUUGUAUCUGGUUUUGUCUUUGGUAUCCUCAUAGGGAACGUUUCUGCGCUUUAUUGCGUGGUGCGGUAUCUAUGACUUUUACUUUGGGGAAAUUAGAGUGUUCACGGCAGGCAAACGCCUUGAAUAUAUUAGCAUGGAAUAAUAACAUAGGAUCUUCGUCCUAUUUUGUUGGUUUCUAGGGCUAAGAUAAUGAUUAAUAGGGAUAAUUGGGGGCAUCUGUAUCAACGCGUCAGAGGUGGAAUUCUUGGAUUGCGUUGCGACAAACUACUGCGAAAGCAUUUGCCAAGGAUGUUUUCAUUGA
RNAcentral lists this ribosomal RNA (381 nucleotides) under uncultured eukaryote. Its description in RNAcentral is "partial 18S ribosomal RNA". It matches the Rfam family "Eukaryotic small subunit ribosomal RNA", at positions 592 to 976 of the family's 1831-position model. The record is from RNAcentral.